UUGUAGGGCAGACAAAUGUAUGAUGGCAUCCUCCGAUUUUCAGGCUGAUGUGAGAGCUCUUCAAAAGGUUUUGGCAGCUAGGCACUUGAUCUAUCAGCAUCAACACAACAAGUAGAUGAGCUGUCCUGCAAUGGGUCAACUGCUCUCGAACACCCUUUACUACAAGCGCUUCUUUCCUUAUUAUGCUUUCAAUGUUCUCGGUGGCCUCGAUAAGGAAGGUAAGGGUUGUGUCUUCACAUAUGACGAUGUUGGCUCCUAU
This is a non-coding RNA of Camellia sinensis, 259 nucleotides long. Lineage: Eukaryota; Viridiplantae; Streptophyta; Magnoliopsida; Ericales; Theaceae. The record is from RefSeq and is a predicted model, not a curated record.